This is a long non-coding RNA of Octopus sinensis (East Asian common octopus), 159 nucleotides long. RefSeq lists it as uncharacterized. The transcript is spliced from 5 exons. NCBI's taxonomy places the organism in Eukaryota, Metazoa, Mollusca, Cephalopoda, Octopoda, Octopodidae. The record is from RefSeq and is a predicted model, not a curated record.
GUCCCGACCGGACAUGGAUCGCCAUCUUUCGGGUCCCCGGCCGCCUGCUACACCUGAGUCGGAGCGGGAACGCCGGACGCGAACGUCGCGGCGAACGCGCGGACCCGACCCGGGAACAAUGCUUCGAAGCGCCGGGUGUAAAACAGAUCGGAAGAGCAU